AUUGAACGCUGGCGGCAGGCCUAACACAUGCAAGUCGAGCGGAUGAAGGGAGCUUGCUCCUGGAUUCAGCGGCGGACGGGUGAGUAAUGCCUAGGAAUCUGCCUGGUAGUGGGGGAUAACGUCCGGAAACGGGCGCUAAUACCGCAUACGUCCUGAGGGAGAAAGUGGGGGAUCUUCGGACCUCACGCUAUCAGAUGAGCCUAGGUCGGAUUAGCUAGUUGGUGGGGUAAAGGCCUACCAAGGCGACGAUCCGUAACUGGUCUGAGAGGAUGAUCAGUCACACUGGAACUGAGACACGGUCCAGACUCCUACGGGAGGCAGCAGUGGGGAAUAUUGGACAAUGGGCGAAAGCCUGAUCCAGCCAUGCCGCGUGUGUGAAGAAGGUUUUCGGAUUGUAAAGCACUUUAAGUUGGGAGGAAGGGCAGUAAGUUAAUACCUUGCUGUUCUGACGUUACCAACAGAAUAAGCACCGGCUAACUUCGUG
Molecule: ribosomal RNA, 484 nt
Filed under: uncultured bacterium
Lineage: Bacteria
Description: partial 16S ribosomal RNA
Rfam family: Bacterial small subunit ribosomal RNA
Source: RNAcentral